RNAcentral lists this long non-coding RNA (5725 nucleotides) under Salmo salar (Atlantic salmon). RNAcentral describes it as "lncRNA (ENSSSAG00000082938.1)". Lineage: Eukaryota; Metazoa; Chordata; Actinopteri; Salmoniformes; Salmonidae. The record is from RNAcentral.
CUGCCUACAUAUAUUGUUUGGAUGGAGCUCUAACAUCAGAGCAGGUUUCCAGAGUUACAAUAACAGAAAGGAAUGCAUUAGGAUAAUUAGUGUCGUCUCUAGUUCCCCCGGGUUGGGCCCCCUCAGCGGGGAAGGCCCUCUCCAAAUGAAUGAAAAGAAACCAAUUCAAAUCAAGCUGCAUAGGUUAUCAGAUGAAAAUAACACAUAUCCCCAUUAAAAUCAAUAGUGAUUGCAUUAUCACAGAGGGUAUUUUCUCUGAUCUGAUGCAGCGCGAGGCACAACAAGCUAUGUAUAAAUAGGGCAUGUUUGCCCUGCCGACUACGCCAGUUAUUCUGACGGGGGAAAUGUACUCUACAUACUUGUGUUUCUUGCUUUUAGAAAUACCUCUCUUGAACAGAUCUAAUCAUGUAAGACAGGAGUUUACACCUGCAGUUGCAUUUGCUCCAUGUGAAUAUAAGACAUGGCAGAUAAUGUUUGUACAAUGUGAGCUGUGCUGUAUCCCACAACCUAUUAGGGCCCGGGGCAAUACUCGUUAGUAUCAUGGCAAGAAAACAAAACAAAAAGUGGAUUUAACUUCUUUAGGAAAACAGCCCUAAUGUUGGAAACAUCAUAAUGUUGUCAUCCAGAGUCACAUGUAUUUAUUUUCCAAGCUAUAGCACACAGUAUUUUAUAUAGAGCAGGUUUUUAAAGGACCAAAGAGUCUGUGUCAUGUUUUCAUUACUGCCACGGAAAAAAUAUUGCGAUACUGGUUUUGUUCCGGCCCUACUACCUAUGGAUCCAUUCGUUGACUCACUUCAAAUGGCUUCUAAGAGGUUCUAAUACGGUGCUUUUCUAUGUCCAAUAGUUUACAGUUGUUUUGACUCAUUCUGGAUGGUCCACUGUUAACUCAUGUCUAUGGAAAUAAAAUGAAUGUAAUAACAGAUUGAAAUGUAAAAAUAGUAAUAAUAACCUCUUCUACUGAGGAACAGCUUGUGAACCAUCAGAAAAUCAUCUAAAACAACAAUCACCGUUUCAAGAAUCAAAAGGAGACAUUUUUCAAAUUAAAUGAGGAUUUUGUGAGGGAAUGGUUUAUCAAAAGAGUAAAUCCAUUUUUAAAUGAAUGUCUUUUUGGUUUCACUAACUGUUCAUUAGCGAGUGUUGAGAAGUAUGUAAUAGGAACAUUUUCCAUCUCUGAACAAUAUUCUUCAAUUAGACCUUUGGAAUACUUGUACCGCAUGUAAGCUGUGUUCUUGACACGCAUUUCUGCACACAUGCCAGAAGUAACACAACCAAUGCCAGUCUUUCCAACACUGGCUCAAAAAACAAGAAUUCUGAGCGCUUAUCUUUAUUAAAAGCUGUAUAUCUGAAAUGGGGACAUUUGCACGACAGACUGCUACAGACUGUUAUGUAGCCUGUGCGUUGUUGUUGCCGUGAAACCUGGAUCGAGCGCACUUCCAGGCGCAGAUUGAUAAAGCAAUCUGCAUAUUUUACACAUAAACAGGAAGCAAAUGUUUGGUGGGAAUUGUAGGGCACUGCAUCUACACCUAGAAGAAGCCAUACACAACAUGACCCAUUCUGUAAGGCUGAGAAGCAAACUGAGAAGAGUGGAAGAUGCUGAAUAUAUCACGGCCAGAGCUUUAAAACUUGCCUCAAAGUGCUUCUAAAGUUACGUUUUUUUCUCUCGUUUUUAUUUUAGAUUUUUGAGUCAUAUAAUUUGAUGUACAGACCAGAUGGCAUGGGAAAUGGACAUUCUCAGUGUAAUAAAUGGAAUCAUCUCAACAAACUACGAGUUCGGAGUGAAUCCUCACUUUAAGAUGCAGCAUUCAGAACAGCAUUCAGAACAGUCGUUUAGCCGAGGUCAGGUGUUGUUCGGCUAAAUGAGGUCAGGUGUUGUUCAGCUAAACGAGGUCAGGUGUUGUUCGGCUGAAUGAGGUCAGGUGUUGUUUGGCUAAAUGAGGUCAGGUGUUGUUCAGCUAAACGAGGUCAGGUGUUGUUCGGCUGAAUGAGGUCAGGUGUUGUUCAGCUAAACGAGGUCAGGCGUUGUUCGGCUGAACGAGGUCAGGCGUUGUUCGGCUGAACGAGGUCAGGCGUUCUUCGGCUGAACGAGGUCAGGCGUUCUUCGGCUGAACGAGGUCAGGCGUUGUUCGGCUGAACGAGGUCAGUCGUUGUUCGGCUGAACGAGGUCAGGUGUUGUUCGGCGGUCACUAGCGGUCAGUAGGACACAGCGGUCACUAGGACAGGCUAGUAAAUCACAUAAAGGCAGGCGCUAAAACAACAGGUGGACAUGCCCUGAGGAAUGCAUGUGCACAGACACACACAUGUCUACAAUGCACAUACAGACAUGCACACACACAUGCUUACUAUACGUACUGUACAGACACACAUUACCCACACACACACACAUGCUUAAUAUAUAUACAUACUGUACAUACACACAUUACCCACACACACACACAUACACAUGCUUACUAUAUGUACUGUACAGACACACAUUACCCACACACACACACACACACACACACACGCUUACUAUAUAUACAUACUAUACAUACACACAUACACAUGCUUACUAUACAUACUGUACAUACACACAUUACCCCCCCCCCCACACACACACACACACACACACACACACACACACACAGUGCUCAGAUGACAGACUCCUCUUUUGAAUUCUGUUUGUGCAGUUCACUCUGUCAGUCAUGGGUUUCUGGGUGAGUUGAGAAGAGGAGAGGAGAAGAUGAAAGUGGAGGCAGGAAUGUGAGCUCCACAUUCCCCCCAAAAAGUGCUCCGCCCCAGGGCUCCCCAAAACCAAAUCAAUACAACCUCCUUCAGCACAUCACACAACUCAGGGGAUCUGCUCACUUUAAUUCUCUCUUUCACACACAGACUAACAUGCAAACAACACACAGACUAACAUGCAAACAACACAUACACUAACAUGCUAACUACACACACACUAACAUGCUAACGUGUGUGUGUGUGUGCGUGUGCGUGUGUGUGUGUGUGUUGGGUACUGGUAAAGGUAAUGGUGUAGUUAAUAAGCUGGUAAUGUGGUUUGAUGCUGGUGCCUUCUGUCACAGGCUCCCCCACAUUUCCUUUUAAUCCAGACCAGUGGAGGCUUUCCUCCCCAUGAAAACCCCCUCUCUCCCUUUAGAAACCCAGGCUGAUGGGCACACAGACACAUACAUAUACACACAAUAAGUGACCACACACACACACACACAGAAAGAAAGCCCAUCUGGCCAUGGAGAGCUCCCCACUCCCUGGGCUCUAAUCAACAGCGGCUCUUCAAGUGCCUGGUGACACACAGCCUGCUGCCAUCUACCCUAACCUAGUGCCUAACCUAGUGUGUGUGUGUGUGUGUGUGUGUGUGUGUGUGUGUGAGCGAAAGAGAAAGAGAUUGUGAGAGAGAGAGAGAGAGAGAGAGAGAGAGAGAGAGAGAGAGAGAGAGAGAGAGAAUGAGGCAGAGAAAGGAAGAGAGUGACAGAGGGAUAAUUAGAGGCUGACAAUGGCUAAGAAAGAGAGUCAAGGAGAAAGAGUUGAGGAGAGAGAGAGUCAAGGAGAAAGAGAGUUAAGGAGAGAGAGAGUCGAGGAGAAAGAGAGUUAAGGAGAGAGAGAGUCAAGGAGAGAGAGAGUCGAGGAAAGAGAGAGUCGAGGAGCGAGAGAGUCGAGGAGAAAGAGAGUUAAGGAGAGAGAGAGUCGAGGAAAGAGAGAGUCGAGGAGCGAGAGAGUCGAGGAGAGAGAGAGUCGAGGAGAGAGAGAGUCGAGGAGAGAGAGAGUCGAGGAGAGAGAGAGUCGAGGAGAGAGAGAGUCGAGGAAAGAGAGAGUCAAGGAGAGAGUCGAGGAGAGAGAGAGUCAAGGAGAGAGAGAGUCGAGGAGAGAGAGAGUCGAGGAAAGAGAGAGUCGAGGAGAGAGAGUCGAGGAGAGAGAGAGUCAAGGAGAAAGAGAGUUAAGGAGAGAGAGAGUCGAGGAAAGAGAGAGUCGAGGAGCGAGAGAGUCGAGGAGAGAGAGAGUCGAGGAGAGAGAGAGUCGAGGAGAGAGAGAGUCGAGGAGAGAGAGAGUCGAGGAGAGAGAGAGUCGAGGAAAGAGAGAGUCAAGGAGAGAGUCGAGGAGAGAGAGAGUCAAGGAGAGAGAGAGUCGAGGAGAGAGAGAGUCGAGGAAAGAGAGAGUCGAGGAGAGAGAGUCGAGGAGAGAGAGAGUCAAGGAGAGAGAGUCGAGGAGAAGGAGAGUCGAGGAGAAGGAGAGCUCUGACAGAUACUGUGCUGUUGUAACAUGAAUCAAAUCAAAUUCAAAUCAAAUGUAUUUAUAAAGCCCUUCUUACAUCACCUGAUAUCUCAAAAUGCUGUACAGAAACCCAGCCUAAAACCCCAAACAGCAAGCAAUGCAGGUGUAGAAGCACGGUGGCUAGGAAAAACUCCCUAGAAAGGCCAGAACCUAGGAAGAAACCUAGAGCGGAACCAGGCUAUGAGGGGUGGCCAGUCCUCUUCUGGCUGUGUCGGGUGGAGAUUAUAACAGAACAUGGCCAAGAUGUUCAAAUGUUCAUAAAUGACCAGCAUGGUCAAAUAAUAAUAAUCACAGGGGUUAUAGAGGGUGCAACAGGUCAGCACCUCAGGAGUAAAUGUCAAUUGGCUUUUCAUAGCCGAUCAUUCAGAGUAUCUCUACCUCUCCUGCUGUCUCUAGAGAGUUGAAACCAGAAGGUCUGGGACAGGUAGCACGUCCGGUGAAGAAGAAAGAGAGUCGAAAGUUCUUGUGUCUAUAUGGCUUGUCUUGCCUGGACCACACUGACUACAGAAGACGACAUAGGGAUUCCUUUCUGUGUAGAAUAGACUACUGUAGAGAAGGCUUUAUUAGAAAGCAGGCUAAUUUGGGCCAUGUGAUCCUCUCAGAUCCUUUACAUGUCAAGCGAUGCAUCCAGGGCAGCUGUGACACACGGACCUUUCAUGUCCAAAACAAUCGCAUCUUAUCAAAUCUUUGGGGAUUCCCGGUGGGCAGGGACAAUUUAUAACAGGUAUUAAGGCCUGCUGAAAGAUCCCUCUGGGUAGCAUGAAUCACUCUUCAGUCUGCUAACAGGAAAAAUGUGCCGCUGGCCUGACCCUGGCAGAGGUGGUGAUUUACAAGGUUCCAGAGCACGAGGGGUCCUGAAGGGGUCCUGAGAGGGGCCAGGGACUGCCUUCUAUUGUGCCUGAUAAUGAAUUAUCCUCCUGCUGAUAAUGAACUCUCAACUGCUAGGAAGGAAGUGGGCCCCCAUUGGCUUAGAAGUGGGUGAGGGGGUGGAGGGGGAAAGCCGGAGGUCACUGUCACUGUAGAUGCCCAAACAGGUGUCAUGUAAACCGCUACGGAGUCCGGAGAAAUCCAGAAAUGAAUGCGCUGUCAUCACCCCCUUACAUCAGCGGCUAGCUACAGCUAGGGUUGGUCCGCCUUUAGCUUGACUGAUGGUGCAUGUGAAACGCUGCACAGAAGCCAUGUGAAACAACCCCCCCUCCAUCGAAUCUCAGGAUCAAUUCCAUUCUGGGGUUAGAUUUAUAAUCCUAAAUUAUUUUGGAAUGUAGGAAUUUUGAUAACACGUUAAAUAUACUGUAAAUGCUUCAACGGUUGACAAAUGUGUCAGGUGGUGUUAAGCUAUGUGGGCUAACAUGGGGCCAGGUGUGUGUGUGUUCAGGGGGGAGGGUGUGUGUGUGUGUAUGUGUGUAUAUGUGUGUGUGUGUGUGUGUGUGUGUGUGUGUGUGUGUGUGUGUGUGUGUGU